RNAcentral lists this long non-coding RNA (2019 nucleotides) under Coffea arabica (coffee). Its description in RNAcentral is "long non-coding RNA (CARA_LNC001766)". The record is from RNAcentral. Lineage: Eukaryota; Viridiplantae; Streptophyta; Magnoliopsida; Gentianales; Rubiaceae.
GGUCCUCGUGCGUGCCUGAACAUCGAAUAGUAGAUAAUUACUAUAGGUCCCCAAGUGGUGAGAAAGAUUGGACACGGGUAAGGUUCGGAAAUAUUUGAAAACUUCGUUUGACUUGUCUUUGAAGUUGGAUUCUCAAAAGGGUGCAGGACUCGAGUAAAAAUCGGAUUAUUAUCCUUAAAAUCAUUGGUUGGAAACGAGUACGAGCAAAACGAUUGCAAAACGAACGAUCGAAAUCGAAAAAGGGCUGGCCACGCCACAAUCCGGCCGGAUUUCUGGCCAGAUUGGAGGCAGUGGCUAACCUCCUUUUUUUUCAAACUUCACCACUAAUCAAGCCGACAAUCCGGCCAGUUUCUGGCCGGAUUCUGUGGAAUAGUUCCUUCGCGGAUUUCCUUUGGAAUUUCAGAAUUUUCGAUUUUUGGUCAAAUCUUUGAAAAAUCAUAAUUUCUUCUCUACAAAUCGAAACUUGAUAAAUUUGGUACCGUUGGAAUCAUCUUCCAAAGUACUAAAAGUCCUUAGAAGACAUUGUUCCAUGAAUCUAAGUGGAAGGUAUUCAAAAAUGAGUCUAAAGUUGCUGUUCUAGAUUACCAGGAUUGAGCCGGGGUUGAUUUUUCGCUAAUUUUGGAAAUUCGGAAAAAAUCACUCGUUGCAAACCGGCCCUUGAAACUUAUAACUCAAUUAGAAGUACAAGUAAAGUUUCGGACAGAACAAGCGGCUCAAGAAUCGGAGUUUCGAGCACCAAGAUAUGGUAGCUCAAAGUUGGGAAAAAUUGAAGACUGUUACAAAAUUUCCAGAUUUGGUUCCGACUUUGGACCUUUUGUUAAGUGUCGAAACGGACUUGAAUUGACACCAAAUUUUGUAGUAUAAUACUCCCAUAUGAAGGGUAUCUCUCUAUCAAAUUUCAUGGAAAAAUACCCUCGGAAAGGUGGUUAAUCAAUCAACCAAAGUUUGGAAAAAUCCUUAAGGCAAUCUAUCCAAAUCUAAGGUUUCAAAAACGAUGCAAUCGCCGUAUUUUGAUCAUAACUCCCUCAAUUUAACUCAGAAUUGGGAAUGGUUGAUAGUGUUAGAAAAUAAAUUCACAGGGAUAAAAUUGCACUGAAGAAAUCGUUACAAGUUUCAGCAUGUAACUGGUUCGAAAUUAAGCCUAAAGUUGCACCAUCAUCAAAUCAUUUCGGCAGAAUGGAGAAACAGGACAGCCGACUUCAGUUGAAUGGUGUGGCUCACACACAUGAAACCAGAAUGUGCACUAUACACCAUUGGAAACAUAGGAACGUCUAGUUUCAAAUGCCGCUAACGGCACUUGAUUUCGACGUCGGAGUACGGAGUUAUGGACGAAACACGAACACUGGUCUGGUUACGACGGCAACCGUUUUCCCAGAUUACUAGCUUUGGAAAUAAAUUCGUUUGACCCACCAAAACUCAGUAUUUUUCAACGAAAAUUUGUACACAACUGCUACAACAUGUAAACAACAUAACCAGGCCAUUAAAUCCUCAGUUUCUGCAUUAAAAUGACCGAACAGAGCAGGGGUAAAAUGGGAACUUUUUGUUUCAAGAGUUCAAUAACGUUUCUGGUAACAAAGCACCUUUAAUCUACUUCCUUAAGCUCUAAUUCAGCAACAAAACCAUCAUCAAACAUCAUCACAGCCAUCAACCCAAAGUGGGAGUUCAUAGAGCCCACGUUUAACAAUUUUCCCAACAAUACAAGCUACUAAAGUGACGAUUCUAGCUCAAAUGCAUAAAUCAAACUCCAAAAGACAAGUUUAAGGUGAUUGAUUACUACCUACUUUGAUGGCUGGUUAGGACAGAAGUUUCUGCCCCUUUGAAGCUUGAAGAACCGUGAAAGCUCCUCCCUUUUCCAGCUAAAUGUGUUGUCCAAGACUUAGGCUAAGUGGUGCUAAAUUUUUAGAAGAUUUGGUGGUGAUUUGCAUGAGUUUUGGAAGAAGAAAUGCUGAAGGUUUCGGUUGUCCCUUUUGCUGCUGCUAUCCGGCCAUGAAGCUUUGCAGAAAUGAAAUGAGAUUGCUG